RNAcentral lists this ribosomal RNA (1242 nucleotides) under metagenome. RNAcentral describes it as "bacterial LSU rRNA". It matches the Rfam family "Bacterial large subunit ribosomal RNA", at positions 1564 to 2815 of the family's 2925-position model. The record is from RNAcentral.
UGAAUACGAGAUGCUACGGCGUCGAAGCAGUCUAUGUCAUACUUCCAAGAAAAGCUCGCACUGUCAUAAACAAAUAAUGCCUGUACCAUAACCGACACAGGUGGGUAGGUAGAGUAUACUAGGGGGCGCGAGAUAACUCUCUCUAAGGAACUCGGCAAAAUGACUCCGUAACUUCGGGAGAAGGAGUGCCUUAUUUAUAAGGUUGCAAUAACAAGAUCCAAGCAACUGUUUAUCAAAAACACAGGUCUCCGCUAAGUCGUAAGACGAUGUAUGGGGGCUGACGCCUGCCCAGUGCCAGAAGGUUAAAGAAGUUGGUUAGCAUUCGCGAAGCUGAUAACUGAAGCCCUGGUGAACGGCGGCCGUAACAAUAACGGUCCUAAGGUAGCGAAAUUCCUUGUCGGGUAAGUUCCGACCCGCACGAAAGGCGUAAUGAUUUGGAUACUGUCUCGGAGAGGGGCUCGGUGAAAUAGACUUGUCUGUGAAGAUGCGGACUACCUGCACCAGGACAGAAAGACCCUAUGAAGCUUUACUGUAACUUGAGAUUGAAAUUGGACUUUACUUGCGCAGUAUAGGUGGGAGGCGUUGAUAAUAUUCUUGCGGGAUUAUUUGAGCCAUCAGUGAGAUACCACUCUUGUAAUGUUAGGUUUCUAACUUUGUAUCAUUAUCUGGUCAAAGGACAGUUUCAGGCGGGCAGUUUGACUGGGGCGGUCGCCUCCUAAACGGUAACGGAGGCGCACAAAGGUUUCCUCUGAACGGGUAGAAAUCGUAUCUAGAGUGUAAAGGCAUAAGGAAGCUUGACUGUGAGACCUACAAGUCGAGCAGGGACGAAAGUCGGUCUUAGUGAUCUGACGGUGCUGAGUGGAAAGGCCGUCACUCAACGGAUAAAAGUUACUCUAAGGAUAACAGGCUGAUCUCCCCCAAGAGUUCACAUCGACGGGGAGGUUUGGCACCUCGAUGUCGGCUCAUCGCAUCCUGGGGCGGUAGUACGUCCCAAGGGUUGGGCUGUUCGCCCAUGAAAGCGGUACGCGAGCUGGGUUCAGAACGUCGUGAGACAGUUCGGUCCAUAUCCGGCGUAGGCGUUAGAAUAUUGAGAGGAGCCUUCUUUAGUACGAGAGGACCGAGAAGGACAUACCUCUGGUGUACCAGUUAUCGUGCCAACGGUAAACGCUGGGUAGCUAUGUAUGGAGUGGAUAACCGCUGAAAGCAUCUAAGUGGGAAGCCCACCUCAAGAUAAGUAUUCUC